GGGGGAUGUGCCAGAAGAUUCAAAGAGAGGAGAGCCAAAUAGCAAUGCCAAUACUUUACCGGAUGAAACUAAUUCUGAAGCGGCUACCGAGCAGGAAAAAAUCAGUGAAAUUCCUGCACAGAAGACCAAAAGUGACUCGGAAGACAUGUCGAAGACACAGGGUUACAGUGAUGCGAAUGGGACUACUGAAGGGGGUGAAGCAAAUAAGGAGGUUGGUGAUACGAUUCCAGAAGGCAUUCAAGAGAAGGUCAAGGAAAACAACUCUGAUGACACAGAUAGCAAAAAGCAGGAGAAGAACGAUAAACAAAAUACUGAGGAAAUCACGACCAAUGAGCAAGACAAGAACCCAGUACAGGAUUCUAAGGAUUCUGGAAAUGAUGAACAGACAUCGGAUGGUGACAAGAAGCCCGAGCAAGAGGAAAAAUCUGAUACCACACAGGAUGAGAAGGAGCAGGGUCAAAUAGAGGAGAAAGUUGAGACUAUCCAAGAGAAGGAUGUUGAACAGAACUCUGAGGAGAAGAAAUCUGACGAGGAGAAAAAGGACCAGGGGUCAAAUGAGGUGUUUCCUGAUGCUGCUCAGGCGGAGCUUCUGAAUGAGACCAAUACCCAAAAUGGGGCAUGGUCUACACAAGCAGCCGAGUCGAAGAAUGAGAAGGAAGUGCAAGCAUCCUCGAAGGGCCAAACCACUGGUUACAGCUGGAAACUAUGCAAUGUCAGUGCUGGUGCAGAUUAUAUCCCCUGUCUUGACAAUCAGGCAGCACUCAAGAAGCUUACAAGUACCAAGCAUUAUGAACAUCGAGAGAGGCAUUGUCCAGAGGAGCCUCCAACCUGUCUUGUUUCUAUCCCGGAGGGAUACAAACGGCCGAUUGAGUGGCCAAGUAGCAGGGACAAGAUAUGGUACCACAAUGUCCCUCAUACCAAGCUUGCAGUGGUGAAGGGGCACCAAAAUUGGGUCAAAGUUACUGGGGAGUACCUCACUUUUCCGGGUGGUGGAACUCAGUUCAAGCAUGGUGCACUCCACUACAUCGAUAUCAUUCAGGAGGCAUUGCCUGAUAUAGCCUGGGGAAAAAGAAGCCGUGUCAUUCUUGAUGUUGGG
Molecule: unclassified non-coding RNA, 1096 nt
Filed under: Hevea brasiliensis (rubber tree)
Lineage: Eukaryota; Viridiplantae; Streptophyta; Magnoliopsida; Malpighiales; Euphorbiaceae
Source: RNAcentral